Non-coding RNA from Mycena haematopus, 94 nucleotides. The record is from the annotation of a GenBank genome assembly. Lineage: Eukaryota; Fungi; Basidiomycota; Agaricomycetes; Agaricales; Mycenaceae.
GACUCGAUGGCGGAUGGCCUGCGCCUGCUUUCCAUGCCAGGUUGCAUGAAUUAAAUACAGCAGGAGAAUCCCAGUUUGAUUCUGGGUCGAGUCA